CCUACGGGUGGCAGCAGUGGGGAAUAUUGGACAAUGGGGGCAACCCUGAUCCAGCCAUGCCGCGUGUGUGUAGAAGGCCCUCGGGUUGUAAAGCACUUUCAGUGAGGAAGAACGCCUGGUGGUUAAUACCCAUCAGGAAAGACAUCACUCACAGAAGAAGCACCGGCUAACUCCGUGCCAGCAGCCGCGGUAAUACGGAGGGUGCGAGCGUUAAUCGGAAUUACUGGGCGUAAAGCGCGCGUAGGUGGCUUGAUAAGCCGGUUGUGAAAGCCCCGGGCUCAACCUGGGAACGGCAUCCGGAACUGUCAAGCUAGAGUGCAGGAGAGGAAGGUAGAAUUCCCGGUGUAGCGGUGAAAUGCGUAGAGAUCGGGAGGAAUACCAGUGGCGAAGGCGGCCUUCUGGACUGACACUGACACUGAGGUGCGAAAGCGUGGGUAGCAAACAGGAUUAGAUACCCUAGUAGUC
Molecule: ribosomal RNA, 465 nt
Filed under: Vreelandella stevensii
Lineage: Bacteria; Pseudomonadati; Pseudomonadota; Gammaproteobacteria; Oceanospirillales; Halomonadaceae
Description: partial 16S ribosomal RNA
Rfam family: Bacterial small subunit ribosomal RNA
Source: RNAcentral